CCCGCACAAGCGGUGGAGCAUGUGGUUUAAUUCGAUGCAACGCGAAGAACCUUACCUGGGCUUGACAUCCCGGGAAUCCCCUGGAAACAGGGGAGUACCCUUCGGGGAACCCGGUGACAGGUGCUGCAUGGCUGUCGUCAGCUCGUGUCGUGAGAUGUUGGGUUAAGUCCCGCAACGAGCGCAACCCUUAUCCCCAGUUGCCAUCAGGUAAAGCUGGGAACUCUGGGGAGACUGCCGGUGAUAAACCGGAGGAAGGCGGGGAUGACGUCAAGUCCUCAUGGCCCUUACAUCCCGGGCUACACACGUGCUACAAUGGCAGGUACAGAGGGCUGCGAAGCCGCGAGGUGGAGCGAAUCCCAGAAAACCUGUCUCAGUCCGGAUUGAAGUCUGCAACUCGACUUCAUGAAGGCGGAAUCGCUAGUAACCGCGAAUCAGCAGGUCGCGGUGAAUACGUUCCCGGGCCUU
RNAcentral lists this ribosomal RNA (465 nucleotides) under uncultured Latescibacterota bacterium. RNAcentral describes it as "bacterial SSU rRNA". It matches the Rfam family "Bacterial small subunit ribosomal RNA", at positions 920 to 1382 of the family's 1533-position model. The record is from RNAcentral. Lineage: Bacteria; Pseudomonadati; Candidatus Latescibacterota.